This 362-nucleotide ribosomal RNA is filed under the name uncultured bacterium. Its description in RNAcentral is "bacterial SSU rRNA". It matches the Rfam family "Bacterial small subunit ribosomal RNA", at positions 9 to 348 of the family's 1533-position model. The record is from RNAcentral.
GAGUUUGAUCUUGGCUCAGGACGAACGCUGGCGGCGUGCUUAACACAUGCAAGUCGAACGGAGCGAAAUGGAAGCUUGCUUCUAUGGAGCUUAGUGGCGAACGGGUGAGUAACGCGUAAUCAACCUGCCCUUCAGAGGGGGACAACAGUUGGAAACGACUGCUAAUACCGCAUACGAUUCAACUUCGGCAUCGAGGAUGAAUGAAAGGUGGCCUCUAUUUAUAAGCUAUCGCUGGAAGGAGGGGGUUCGUCUGAUUAGCUAGUUGGAGGGGUAACGGCCCACCAAGGCGAUGAUCGGUAGCCGGACUGAGAGGUUGAACGGCCACAUUGGGACUGAGACACGGCCCAGACUCCUACGGGAGG